AAAGAAAAAAAAAUAAACAAAGGAAAUAUUGACAAUAAGUUAAUAUAUGUAAGCAUAAUCAAUACUCAUGUCGUAACCAUCAAUCUAACUCUAAUUCUUUGCCAAUCUCGAUACAUUUCAUCACCCAUAAUUCUGCUAAAUUCCUUCCCAAAUAUAACUCUGGCUGUUACCAGGCGAAACAUGCUCUAACUAAACUAAAUUCAAGGAUCCUUUCAAUGCUUAUGAUGCGAUAAUAAUGCCUUGAAUUUAUUUGUUGUUUGUGCAUAACCUUUAAUUUCGUUGCACAUAGACAACCUUCUGUCGAUUAAAAGUUAAAAAUCCACGUGAUGAUCACAUGUAAUAGUUUUGAAGGAUAAAAUAGGAUAAUAAUUAAUUUUAAUUAAAACACAGAGAAAAUAAAAAUUCAAAGGGGAAAGAAAGGGCAAAAAAAUAAAGGAGAAGAGAAAUGAUAAUAAUUAUAUGGCUAUGAAUUAUUAACUUAAAUAAACAUGUCUAUGGAUCAAUACAAUUAUUCCUAUUACUGUGGAUCAAUACAAUUCAUUUGAGUUUGAUAACCUUAGCAAACUCAAGUGAAGUACCCUAGAUCGUUUAUUCUUACCACAAUAUUUUUUCGAAGAGUUAUUGCUAAACUAACAUAAAAAGAAGUGGAAAAAAAAAAGGAGGAAAAGAAUAAGGGAUUCUUACCACAAUUUUCUUUGAAUUUAAUGCAAAAAGAGAUGUCUCAAGCAAUUUAAGGACAAUAUUGAAGAUUGAUAAGGACGUUUCAAGAAUAACAUAAAAACUAACGGAACAAAUAAUGGCCGAUGAAAACUUCA
This 815-nucleotide long non-coding RNA is filed under the name Olea europaea (common olive). RNAcentral describes it as "long non-coding RNA (OEUR_LNC009252)". The record is from RNAcentral. Lineage: Eukaryota; Viridiplantae; Streptophyta; Magnoliopsida; Lamiales; Oleaceae.